UGGCAGGAUGGGGGAUGUGUGGGAGCUUCCUUGUCCAUGUAGAAAGGAUGCAGGGUGAAGACAACACAUGCGAGCAAUGUGAAAGAGGUCAAGGCUUCCUGCUGUCUGGCUGCUAGCAUAAACAUUCAACAUAGCGCAUGAGGAAACGUGGCGGAACAGAAGAGGUCUGACAUCAAUCUAGAAGUCCCCGCUGUAGCCGUUUGGCCGACUAGUGAUUCAGCGCAGGCCGAUUGUUUGCGAGGAGGCGGCAAAGCGGCUCAUUUCCAUACAAAUUGCGGCGGUGUGAAGCCAAGGACGCGUACGAGGAUUUGGAGCUCUGAUGACCAAGCCCGUGGCUGACUUGAGCGCUCUUCUCAUCCACGCUUCCCUCAGCACCUCCAAGCUAGCCGAGCUUCCCUGGAU
Long non-coding RNA from Syngnathus acus (greater pipefish), 402 nucleotides. RefSeq lists it as uncharacterized. NCBI's taxonomy places the organism in Eukaryota, Metazoa, Chordata, Actinopteri, Syngnathiformes, Syngnathidae. The record is from RefSeq and is a predicted model, not a curated record. The transcript has 3 exons.